Molecule: long non-coding RNA, 1974 nt
Organism: Salvia miltiorrhiza (redroot sage)
Lineage: Eukaryota; Viridiplantae; Streptophyta; Magnoliopsida; Lamiales; Lamiaceae
Exons: 2
Source: RefSeq, a predicted model, not a curated record
UCCAGGGUCCUACGUGGCAUGUCUAAGAAUUCACCAUUCAAAAUCCCUGCAAUUCUAGAGUCUCUAGCUCAAUUCUCUAUCGCUGACGUGGCAAUAUAAUUCCACGUAAGUUAUUUAUAUUAUUCUCACUUUAAUUAAACUAUUUUAUUUAUAUUAUACACCACAUAACACAAAUCGACAGCUUCUCCACUCAAGUGGAUCACUCAUAGGAUUUCUUCCCUUCCCCAUUAGAAUCUUAAACCCUAAUCCAUGGCGCUUUCAGAGAAGAAGAAUAUGCGUCAUCGUCGUCAUCGAUUCUACUCGGUAACGAAAUCGACCGGGUGAUGAAAUCUGCGAUUCGCUUCGCCGUGCCGGCCACCGUCGUUAUCGAGAUGUGCCACCUCUCCCUUUACCUACUGCUCAAGCCCCAAUUCGUCCCAAAUCUGCAAAGGUGACACACGAAGGUGUUGGGUCGCACACGCACAUAUUCGGCCUUCAUCUUCCCCUAUGCGAUCUGCCACCUCCCUUCCCCCACCGCGAUUGGCCGCGUCGGCACCCUCCGCGAUCUGCGGUGAUUCUUCCUACGCAGCUAUGGUAAGAAUUAAUUAGUUUCCUCAUUUAAUUCCUACACAGCCAUUGUAAAUAUAGAAUGAUUAUAGUAAACUUUAGAAAUAAAUUUUUUUAUUAAGUAAUUGUGCAAAUGAAAUCUUUCCAUCUUGAUAAUUGUUUAUAUGGCAAUAGAAUUUUUUGCCAUCUCUCCAAGCAACUAUCUUCUUAAAAUUUGCCAAAUAUCACAUCAUAUAUAUGCUUUAACUAUAUAAAGAUAGUCAUAGCACAUGAUUUUCACAUAAACUGAAGCUAGAAUUACGACUAACAAUUUACUCCUUCGAUUUUCUCUCUUCGGUGAUAUUUGGGUCGAAUUCCUUGGUGAGCUCCACUCUUCAUGUUUGCUAGAAAUCAGUUCUUUUAGUUCUGCAUACCAUAUGUUUGAUAAAAUGCUUGAGAGAACCAUGGGAUUUUUUUCUUCUUCACUUUCUGGAGAUUAUCUCUUGCUGAUUCUUUUCUUCUUCUUUUUGUUGCAGGGAUUAAAAUAAUAAUCAAAGUAGGAGCUUGAGAUUAAAUUCUGCCCUUUUUGUCGCUCAAAUACAACUUUUAAGUAGACGUUCUGUCAUGCAUUUGUGAGUGGUCUAAUCAAACAUUUUUCAGUAGCACCUACACCAGAAAUCAAAUCAGAAGGUGUGUGAGCUUGGAUUUACUGUCGGAAUUUUGUGUCCAUUUUUGUUAGUGGGUUCCUUUUAACUAAAUUUUUUCUUAAAUUUGUUGCUCAUGUUGAUCAUGGGACAACCACUCUCUCGUGGAUGUUAUGUUAAGGCAUUCCAAGGUACAUGUUCUUGGGGUCUUGCUGAGGACUAAUUUGUCGUAAUUUAUUAGUAAUUUAUAGUCGAAUGUUGUAGCUUAGUUUCAAUAUUUGUUUUUCGAGAUUAAGUUAUGUAUGAGAGGCUCCCAGUAGAAAGGUAUUAUGUGAAUGUGGAAUGAUGAAUGUUGUCUCCUGUUGCGUUUGUGCGGGUUUUUUCGGGACAACCAAUUUAUACAGGAUUGGAUAAUGGAUUCUAAUGAGUAGCUUGGCGGCGAUUGAGAUAAGGCAAGAGGCGAUCAUUGAGGAAGGCGAAAUCUGCUCCGAUGUUGGUGGACGCGAUGGAGGAUGGGAGAAACAAAGGGCCGUGCUUUCUCUCCGUCCUCAAUCGUGCACAUCUAAUAUUAUGCGUUCUCAGAUUGACCUUAUUUGGCAGUAUUUAUUUGGGAUCUUGGAUAAUUUUGCUAUCAUUCAAACAAUUUGCCCAAAUUUUAUUUUAUUACUUAGUUCAUUCUGCUACCAGAUCAAUCUCAAAGCCUUUGAACGUGUAAUUUAAUUUUUUAUUGUGUCAAAUGUUGUCUAUCAAAUUAUCAGCUCGAUCUCACAGGGUUUCCAUGGUUUCAACUAUCCAUUCUCCAUCA